GAUGAACGCUGGCGGCGUGCCUAACACAUGCAAGUCGAACGGAGUCCAGCCUUUAAGACCUUCGGGUCAAAGAGGGGAAGACUGAGUGGCGGACGGGUGAGUAACACGUGGGCAACCUGGCUCAUAGAGGGGCAUAACAGAGAGAAAUUUCUGCUAAUACCGCAUAAGCACACACUGCCGCAUGGCAGAGGGUGAAAAGAGAAUCGCUAUGAGAUGGACCCGCGUCUGAUUAGCCAGUUGGCAGGGUAAGAGCCUACCAAAGCGACGAUCAGUAGCCGAUCUGAGAGGAUGAACGGCCACAUUGGGACUGAGACACGGCCCAAACUCCUACGGGAGGCAGCAGUGGGGGAUAUUGCACAAUGGGGGGAACCCUGAUGCAGCGACGCCGCGUGAGUGAAGAAGUAUUUCGGUAUGUAAAGCUCUAUCAGCAGGGAAGAUAAUGACAGUACCUGAAGAAGAAGCCCCGGCUAACUACGUG
RNAcentral lists this ribosomal RNA (478 nucleotides) under uncultured bacterium. Its description in RNAcentral is "partial 16S ribosomal RNA". It matches the Rfam family "Bacterial small subunit ribosomal RNA", at positions 28 to 507 of the family's 1533-position model. The record is from RNAcentral.